UACGUAGGGUGCAAGCGUUAAUCGGAAUUACUGGGCGUAAAGCGUGCGCAGGCGGCGGUAUAAGACUGAUGUGAAAUCCCCGAGCUCAACUUGGGAACUGCAUUGGUGACUGUAUCGCUGGAGUACGGCAGAGGGGGAUGGAAUUCCGCGUGUAGCAGUGAAAUGCGUAGAUAUGCGGAGGAACACCAAUGGCGAAGGCAAUCCCCUGGGCCUGUACUGACGCUCAUGCACGAAAGCGUGGGGAGCAAAC
RNAcentral lists this ribosomal RNA (250 nucleotides) under uncultured bacterium. RNAcentral describes it as "partial 16S ribosomal RNA". It matches the Rfam family "Bacterial small subunit ribosomal RNA", at positions 524 to 773 of the family's 1533-position model. The record is from RNAcentral.